This is a small nuclear RNA of Dipodomys ordii (Ord's kangaroo rat), 192 nucleotides long. Its record names the gene U2. It matches the Rfam family "U2 spliceosomal RNA". From Rfam's summary of the family: U2 is a small nuclear RNA (snRNA) component of the spliceosome (involved in pre-mRNA splicing). Complementary binding between U2 snRNA (in an area lying towards the 5' end but 3' to hairpin I) and the branchpoint sequence (BPS) of the intron results the bulging out of an unpaired adenosine, on the BPS, which initiates a nucleophilic attack at the intronic 5' splice site, thus starting the first of two transesterification reactions that mediate splicing. The record is from Ensembl. NCBI's taxonomy places the organism in Eukaryota, Metazoa, Chordata, Mammalia, Rodentia, Heteromyidae.
AGAAUGUCUCAGUCAUUUGGCUAAGAUCCAGUGUGUACCAGUUAUCAGUUUAAUAUCUGAUAUGCCCUCUUAGGAAAAUGUAUUAAAUGAAUAUCUGAAAUGGAGAGAUGGGACAAGGACUUGUUUUGUCCACUCCAGCAUCAACACCCAGGGACCUGGUAUUAUAGUACCUUCAGGAAUGGUGCACCCCUU